AACGAACGCUGGCGGCGUGGAUUAGGCAUGCAAGUCGAGCGAGAAAGGGGAGCAAUCCCUGAGUAAAGCGGCGAACUGGUGAGUAACAGGUGGGCAAUGUGCCCCAAAGUGGGGGAUAACUCCGAGAAAUCGGAGCUAAUACCGCAUGUGGUGUCAUAGGCUUCGGCUCGUGACAUUAAAGAAGGGCUCCGCAAGGAGCAAUUCGCUAGG
RNAcentral lists this ribosomal RNA (210 nucleotides) under uncultured bacterium. Its description in RNAcentral is "partial 16S ribosomal RNA". It matches the Rfam family "Bacterial small subunit ribosomal RNA", at positions 29 to 222 of the family's 1533-position model. The record is from RNAcentral.